This is a long non-coding RNA of Acanthopagrus latus (yellowfin seabream), 504 nucleotides long. RefSeq lists it as uncharacterized. The record is from RefSeq and is a predicted model, not a curated record. NCBI's taxonomy places the organism in Eukaryota, Metazoa, Chordata, Actinopteri, Spariformes, Sparidae. The transcript has 3 exons.
CCUCCUGUAUAGCCACUGGAUUCCCUGCUGCUCAUCGCCAGAUUGUUUCAUCAGUCUAUGUGGUUGUUUGCAUGCUGGCUCCUAUGUAUUUUGCCUUUGUGCCAUGUGUUUUAGCUUGUGUAGCUAAUAUUACUGUGUUUUUUCCACCUCGCCUCAGACUGCUGUGCAGUCUCAUGUUUUGCUUUCUCCCUGCCUGCCUGUGGACCUGUCUGCCUGUUGCCAGCUCUCCUGUGUUUCCGCUCUGUAGUGUGAAGUUGACCUGAAGAAGGAAGAGAAGGAAAGACGGGGUUUGGAUGAGUGGAAGAUGGAAUAAAAAAUUUGGAGUAGCAGCAUCUCCCUGCUCAGGUUGCAGCUUCACCCAUCUCCCUGGACUCCCUCCUCAUUGCCUACAUACCAGUCCAUCCUGUCUGCCUGGACUCUCUCCACAUUGCCACCAGUUUCCUCGAUCCUGCCUGCCUGCCCUCCUCAACCCAGCAUCAAUUUAUUUACGUUAAUAAACCUUUG